RNAcentral lists this transfer RNA (75 nucleotides) under Leptolyngbya sp. Cla-17. Its description in RNAcentral is "tRNA-Thr". It matches the Rfam family "tRNA". From Rfam's summary of the family: Transfer RNA (tRNA) molecules are approximately 80 nucleotides in length. The record is from RNAcentral. Lineage: Bacteria; Bacillati; Cyanobacteriota; Cyanophyceae; Leptolyngbyales; Leptolyngbyaceae.
GCAGGUGUGAUGUAACGGGCAACAUGAGGCUCUCGUACAGCCUUCAUGCAGGUUCAACUCCUGUCGCCUGCUCCA